Molecule: ribosomal RNA, 468 nt
Filed under: uncultured bacterium
Lineage: Bacteria
Description: partial 16S ribosomal RNA
Rfam family: Bacterial small subunit ribosomal RNA
Source: RNAcentral
GACGAACGCUGGCGGCGUGCUUAGCACAUGCAAGUCGAACGGAAAGGCCCUGCUUUUGUGGGGUGCUCGAGUGGCGAACGGGUGAGUAACACGUGAGUAACCUGCCCUUGACUUUGGGAUAACUUCAGGAAACUGGGGCUAAUACCGGAUAGGAGCUCCUGCUGCAUGGUGGGGGUUGGAAAGUUUCGGCGGUUGGGGAUGGACUCGCGGCUUAUCAGCUUGUUGGUGGGGUAGUGGCUUACCCAGGCUUUGACGGGUAGCCGGCCUGAGAGGGUGACCGGCCACAUUGGGACUGAGAUACGGCCCAGACUCCUACGGGAGGCAGCAGUGGGGAAUAUUGCACAAUGGGCGGAAGCCUGAUGCAGCAACGCCGCGUGCGGGAUGACGGCCUUCGGGUUGUAAACCGCUUUCGCCUGUGACGAAGCGUGAGUGACGGUAAUGGGUAAAGAAGCACCGGCUAACUACGUG